ACCAUCACGGUGACUUACAAGCAACUCACUGCACUUAGGCACUGGACUACCUAAAUUUUUAAUUCAGUGACGUAAGGCUGCUGGAUGUAGUCAAGUACUUGACUUGUCGGUGCGUGUGUCAAGAUGGGAUUGAUCACUUCAGUUUAGGAGCUGUGUAUAGUCAUAUUUUAAUUUAGCAAAACCUUGGCCAGGGUAGUCUUUGUGAGGAGUCACAGGACUGUUUGAGUUGAGCACGAUUCGAAUGAUCUAAUCAGGGUUGACAGUUUAACCCUGAGUCAUCCUAAACACAGAGGUCAAAAGGAUGAAUUAUACAGUAACCAUAUUCAUGUAGGUU
RNAcentral lists this long non-coding RNA (334 nucleotides) under Elaeis guineensis (African oil palm). Its description in RNAcentral is "long non-coding RNA (EGUI_LNC077290)". The record is from RNAcentral. Lineage: Eukaryota; Viridiplantae; Streptophyta; Magnoliopsida; Arecales; Arecaceae.